CAGCUGCGUUAAGUGGUGUGAAUUGCAGGACACGCCGAGCACUAAAUUUUCGAACGCAUAUUGCGCCUAUGGGCUUUCCCGUAGGCAUGUCUGUCUGAGGGUCGGAAAAGUUGAACACAUAGUGAUAGCUGAUUUCGAGUUGGUCCUUUUGCACUUUAUUGUGUCAAUAGUAUUAGACCUGUUCGUUCAGCUCAAGAAACGCGAUGUUCGGCCGAAUUCGGCAGCGGUGCAUCGGUUCAGCGCUACGUGCUGUUACCGUUCACUGGGGUGAAACCUCUAACUGUCGGUAGUUGUCGCAACAAUUCAGCGUCAAUCUUAAUUGACCAAAAACUUUAAUUUCAAACUUGUCGACCUCAGAUCAGGCAAGAUUACCCGCUGAAUUUAA
Molecule: unclassified non-coding RNA, 385 nt
Filed under: uncultured fungus
Lineage: Eukaryota; Fungi
Description: sequence contains ITS1
Rfam family: 5.8S ribosomal RNA (bases 1-104)
Source: RNAcentral